GACGAACGCUGGCGGCGUGCUUAACACAUGCAAGUCGAACGGUGAAGCCCUUCGGGGUGGAUCAGUGGCGAACGGGUGAGUAACACGUGGGCAAUCUGCCCUGCACUCUGGGACAAGCCCUGGAAACGGGGUCUAAUACCGGAUACGACUCGGGAGCGCAUGCUUCCGGGUGGAAAGCUCCGGCGGUGCAGGAUGAGCCCGCGGCCUAUCAGCUUGUUGGUGGGGUGAUGGCCUACCAAGGCGACGACGGGUAGCCGGCCUGAGAGGGCGACCGGCCACACUGGGACUGAGACACGGCCCAGACUCCUACGGGAGGCAGCAGUGGGGAAUAUUGCACAAUGGGCGCAAGCCUGAUGCAGCGACGCCGCGUGAGGGAUGACGGCCUUCGGGUUGUAAACCUCUUUCAGCAGGGAAGAAGCGUGAGUGACGGUACCUGCAGAAGAAGCACCGGCUAACUACGUGC
Molecule: ribosomal RNA, 463 nt
Filed under: uncultured Streptomycetaceae bacterium
Lineage: Bacteria; Bacillati; Actinomycetota; Actinomycetes; Kitasatosporales; Streptomycetaceae
Description: bacterial SSU rRNA
Rfam family: Bacterial small subunit ribosomal RNA
Source: RNAcentral